Molecule: ribosomal RNA, 301 nt
Filed under: uncultured bacterium
Lineage: Bacteria
Description: partial 16S ribosomal RNA
Rfam family: Bacterial small subunit ribosomal RNA
Source: RNAcentral
CAGCAGCCGCGGUAAUACGUAGGGUGCAAGCGUUAAUCGGAAUUACUGGGCGUAAAGCGUGCGCAGGCGGUUAUAUAAGACAGAUGUGAAAUCCCCGGUCUCAACCUGGGAACUGCAUUUGUGACUGUAUAGCUAGAGUACGGCAGAGGGGGAUGGAAUUCCGCGUGUAGCAGUGAAAUGCGUAGAUAUGCGGAGGAACACCGAUGGCGAAGGCAAUCCCCUGGGCCUGUACUGACGCUCAUGCACGAAAGCGUGGGGAGCAAACAGGAUUAGAUACCCCCGUAGUCCCUGUCUCUUAUAC